AAGAACCACCACAUCCUUCCUUUGUGUCUUGGGGUGAGGCGGGGAGACUUUGCAUCUGCUCAGACUGUGAUCUCAGAGCUGAUUCGUCAGAGGGAGAGAGGAAAAGAUUUAUACAUUGAAAAGCAUGACUGUCAAGCAGAGCUGAAAAGGAUAAAACCAGCCAAUGGAGAGGGAAACGUGAAAUUUCGUCAUGAUUGCUCUAUGUCAUAAAAACUCUUAUGUACGGUGUCCAGAGGCAAAUGAUGUAUGGAAACAACAAAUUACGUGGAAUGUUUAUGUGUUGAACUCUGUUUGGAUUCUGAAAAGCAUCCCAUGGGUGUUCGGAUUUCCUGUAAACCAACAAGCGGCCCCCCUCCUUCCCUUCACCACCGCCUUCCCUUGGAUGAGAGCAUGAUAGUAUGAAACGCAUCCAAGUUUUCCAUGUGAGCUGACAGGGGCUUUAGAUUUCCAGAGAAAGGUGGAUAGCAGAAAUCACGCAUGUGAAAAGCAGCCUGAACCACCCUCCAUAGCUCAUUACAAUAAAGGCAAUUCUCCUGGCCUUCA
This 543-nucleotide long non-coding RNA is filed under the name Vulpes vulpes (red fox). RNAcentral's name for it is "lncRNA (ENSVVUG00000002658.1)". The record is from RNAcentral. Lineage: Eukaryota; Metazoa; Chordata; Mammalia; Carnivora; Canidae.